AGAGUUCAAGUGAAUCGUAACCAUCUCGAAAGUCCUAUUACAAGUUCCAAUAACAACUUUGCUGCAUAAAUCAUCUUCUAAAUGUCUUACCAUCACUUGCUGGACGGCAAUUUUGAACAUUCGGCGCUUUUCCAUGUCGACUUCCUCGAGGCCCCUGCAAAUGUCUACUUAUUAUCGUAUGCUGGAUGCAGAUUAUACUCCCAACAGGGAGUAAUACGUACAACGAACGGAGGUGGACGAGUCCAUCAAAGAUCGAUAUUUGAAGAUUGUUGAUGGGGUUGUAU
Diachasmimorpha longicaudata is the source of this 284-nucleotide long non-coding RNA. RefSeq lists it as uncharacterized. The transcript has 2 exons. Lineage: Eukaryota; Metazoa; Arthropoda; Insecta; Hymenoptera; Braconidae. The record is from RefSeq and is a predicted model, not a curated record.